This 501-nucleotide ribosomal RNA is filed under the name uncultured bacterium. RNAcentral's name for it is "partial 16S ribosomal RNA". It matches the Rfam family "Bacterial small subunit ribosomal RNA", at positions 30 to 523 of the family's 1533-position model. The record is from RNAcentral.
AUUGAACGCUGGCGGCAUGCCUUACACAUGCAAGUCGAACGGCAGCACGGGUGCUUGCACCUGGUGGCGAGUGGCGAACGGGUGAGUAAUAUAUCGGAACGUACCUUAUUGUGGGGGAUAACGCAGCGAAAGCUGUGCUAAUACCGCAUAAUCCCUAAGGGGGAAAGCGGGGGACCGUAAGGCCUCGCGCAAUUAGAGCGGCCGAUACCUGAUUAGCUAGUUGGUGAGGUAAAGGCUCACCAAGGCAACGAUCAGUAGCUGGUCUGAGAGGACGCACAGCCACACUGGGACUGAGAAACGGCCCAGACUCCUACGGGAGGCAGCAGUGGGGAAUUUUGGGCAAUGGGGGCAACCCUGAUCCAGCAAUGCCGCGUGAGUGAAGAAGGCCUUCGGGUUGUAAAGCUCUUUUGUCAGGGAAGAAACAGCAGCUCUAACACAGUUUGCGAAUGACGGUACCUGAGGAAUAAGCACCGGCUAACUACGUGCCAGCAGCCGCAGUAA